AUAUGUUCACACAACGGUCUGUGAACAAGCCCCAUCCCGUCUGAUCUCGGAAGCUAAGCAGAGUUGGGCCUGGUUAGUACUUGGAUGGGAGACCACCUAGGAAGACCAGGUAGGUAUAAAUA
RNAcentral lists this ribosomal RNA (122 nucleotides) under Pteropus vampyrus (large flying fox). The record is from RNAcentral. Lineage: Eukaryota; Metazoa; Chordata; Mammalia; Chiroptera; Pteropodidae.